Molecule: ribosomal RNA, 825 nt
Filed under: uncultured bacterium
Lineage: Bacteria
Description: bacterial SSU rRNA
Rfam family: Bacterial small subunit ribosomal RNA
Source: RNAcentral
CGGAAGUUUUCGGAUGGAAGCAAUAAACCUUAGCGGCGGACGGGUGAGUAACGCGUGGGUAACCUGCCUCAUACAGGGGGAUAACAGUUAGAAAUGACUGCUAAAACCGCAUAAGCGCACAUUGUCGAGUGACAGAGUGUGAAAAACUCCGGUGGUAUGAGAUGGACCCGCGUCUGAUUAGCUAGUUGGUGAGGUAACGGCCCACCAAGGCGACGAUCAGUAGCCGGCCUGAGAGGGCGACCGGCCACAUUGGGACUGAGACACGGCCCAAACUCCUACGGGAGGCAGCAGUGGGGAAUAUUGCACAAUGGGGGAAACCCUGAUGCAGCGACGCCGCGUGAGUGAAGAAGUAUUUCGGUAUGUAAAGCUCUAUCAGCAGGGAAGAAGAAAGACGGUACCUGACUAAGAAGCCCCGGCUAACUACGUGCCAGCAGCCGCGGUAAUACGUAGGGGGCAAGCGUUAUCCGGAUUUACUGGGUGUAAAGGGAGCGUAGACGGCUGUGCAAGUCUGAAGUGAAAGCCCAGGGCUCAACCCUGGGACUGCUUUGGAAACUGUGGAGCUAGAGUGCUGGAGAGGUAAGUGGAAUUCCUAGUGUAGCGGUGAAAUGCGUAGAUAUUAGGAGGAACACCAGUGGCGAAGGCGGCUUACUGGACAGUAACUGACGUUGAGGCUCGAAAGCGUGGGGAGCAAACAGGAUUAGAUACCCUGGUAGUCCACGCGGUAAACGAUGAAUACUAGGUGUUGGAGAGCAAAGCUUUUCGGUGCCGUCGCAAACGCAAUAAGUAUUCCACCUGGGGAGUACGUUCGCAAGAAUGAAACUCAAA